UUGAGUAGAAAUGCAAGGUUG
Non-coding RNA from Caenorhabditis elegans, 21 nucleotides. The record is from Ensembl. Lineage: Eukaryota; Metazoa; Nematoda; Chromadorea; Rhabditida; Rhabditidae.